GUGUGUACCUUCCCUUGGAUACUGAUACUUGGAAACAGUGGAUAUGGAUACGUGGAUGCACGGAAAUGGACACAUGGAUAUGGACAUGUGGAUAUGUAGACCCUUGAUUUGGGUAUUCUACGCGCGUAUGACUUGUCACAGGCAUACGAGUCUUGAGGAUUCGGCUGUACGUGCUGGCUGAGAUUUAGUCCCCCGGUUGGACGGCUCGUUCCCUAGCCAUAUGGUUGUUGAGGAUUCCUCCAUGUGGUCUAGUCAAACGAUCCUGGAUUGGAUUAUUU
Molecule: long non-coding RNA, 278 nt
Filed under: Prunus persica (peach)
Lineage: Eukaryota; Viridiplantae; Streptophyta; Magnoliopsida; Rosales; Rosaceae
Description: long non-coding RNA (PPER_LNC006025)
Source: RNAcentral